GACGAACGCUGGCGGCGUGCCUAAUACAUGCAAGUCGAGCGAAGCGGCGGAUGGGUGAGUAACGCGUGGGUAACCUGCCCUUAAGUCGGGGAUACCAUUUGCAAACAGAUGCUAAUACCGGAUACUUAAGGAUGGACUUGCGGUGCAUUGGCUAGUUGGUAAGGUAACGGCUUACUACGGGGAUGAUGCGUAGACGAGUUGAGAGACGGAUCGGCCACAUUGGGACUGAGACACGGCCCAAACUCCUACGGGAGGCAGCAGUAGGGAAUCUUCCACAAUGGACGAAAGUCUGAUGGAGCAACGCCGCGUGAGUGAAGAAGGUUUUCGGAUCGUAAAGCUCUGUUGUUGGUGAAGCGGUAAUCAACCAGAAAGUCACGGCUAACUACGUGCCAGCAGCCGCGGUAAUAC
RNAcentral lists this ribosomal RNA (408 nucleotides) under uncultured bacterium. RNAcentral's name for it is "partial 16S ribosomal RNA". It matches the Rfam family "Bacterial small subunit ribosomal RNA", at positions 28 to 526 of the family's 1533-position model. The record is from RNAcentral.